UGCCACUUUGACAACUGGGUAGUAUUACGUGUAGCCAAAUUAGUUCUUAGUUGUUACUGUUUGUUGCUGAACCGUGGGCUUGCAUCGUCUAUGUACUCAUGGUGACGAUGCUGAUAAAAAUAUUAAAACGUGAUGUCUUCAACCGAGUUCCGGAGAUGAAAGGAGCGACUUGUUUCCGUUUCCUGCAUUGGUUUAUGGACGUGGUAACCUAUACGUUCUCCUUUGAAAGUGGAUUUGCAUAGAGAGUUGAAGCCAGAAGACAAGGCAUUUCGGACCAGUUCCUCCCAGGAGCUUUUUUCAUUAUGUGUGGAUUAAUGGAGGGGAAGUCCAUCACGGCAGGAACGGAGGCCCACGUAAUGAGGAGAACAGGAAGAGAGAAAGGCCAUUAGACUCUGGGGUGAGAAGUGCUGCAUUCAGGUGAGAUGACCUGUGUUAAGCCUUCACUUUUAGGUCACUGUUUGAAGAGCAUAUCUAUAAAUCCACCUUAUCCUCACAAACAUUUUGUCAGAACAGGAAACACUUAAGUCUUCCCAACACUGAAGGGUAAUCCCUUCAGCGCUGCUCAAACGUGUGAUUUGCAGCUUGCUAUGUGGUACACUCGGCUAAACCUCUGUUAAGUAAAAUCAAGCCAGCAAAAGAUCAAAUAUAAUAAUUCCCAGUGUUAAAGACGCCAGCAGUCGUGUGACUUUUUGAUUGUCGGUAUCACUGUGCAUUAUCUCUGGAAAUGCUUCUACCACUGCAGAGCAGGGAAAGGCUGAAGGCUAAAGAGGAACAUCAAAGAGGCCUGAGGGGGAAUUAGCACCUUCCCAGGGACACAACCAGCAUUGUUCUACAAUUAAUCCCAGCCUCCUCUAUUACUUUCAGAUUAUCUUUAAGUGGGUGAACUCUUUGUGGGGCAUUAAGACUCUCCUUAAUCCCCCCCCUCCCUCCCCAUCUCCCUAAACUUCAAUGGCGGCCGUGCUAUCUUGUCCGGGUAGAGAUGGCAAAGGCUUAAGGCUACUCUUAGAAGGUGGUCUGCCAUGGCCACAGGACGGUGUGAGAACUGUGACACAGGGGAGGGACAACAAACAGGAGCUCAAAAUCUCUUAAGCGCACAGGGAGACAAAUAAAAGGAUUUGGGUUGUCAGGGGGGCACAGGAGCUAAAAAGCUAUCUUUCAUAAUCCUUUUGAUAGUGGACCUUUGAAAUGCGUGAUCUGGAUGUUUUAACACAGAGUUCUCAGAAUACUAUUAAGGGGAAAAAAUUGCAGCAGGAUGAGCUUGUAAACGUUACGAAAGCGAAAGACAAAUCUGAGUACAAGUCAUUGCAGAUGCAUUGAGAAUUUUCCCAAAGGGCAUUGG
Molecule: long non-coding RNA, 1339 nt
Organism: Pundamilia nyererei
Lineage: Eukaryota; Metazoa; Chordata; Actinopteri; Cichliformes; Cichlidae
Exons: 3
Source: RefSeq, a predicted model, not a curated record